UAUGGAGAAUGCUCUAUUGCCCCAACUCUGGUGCUUAGUUCUGAGUGUUAUACACAGGAAUUUGGCAUCAGAGGAAUGGAGACUUUGGAAAGAGAGUAAUAUUGGAGCAAGUCGGUGAGGUAGGAGGGGGUCUGGUUAUGAAGAGCUUUGUGAGUGAAGAGAAGGACUUUUAAUUGAAUCCAUUGUGGGGCAGGAAGCCAGUGAAACUUCUGGAGGGCAGGAGUGACAUGGUCCCGAGAACGAGUUCUGGAUGUACUGGAAUUUAUUUAGAUUUUGGAUGAUGUGUAAUAGAGAAUGCUGUUGCAGUAGUCGAUUCUGGAUGUGAUGACAGCAUGGAUCAAAGUUUCAGCAGCAAAGAAGAUAUAGCCUCUUAGGAGACUAUUUUAACUUCUUUGAAUACGGGCCCAAUCUAAUGGUCCCAUUUGGAUUGGCUGGAUGACAAGCAGCUUUGCUACAUCAAAGACAGGGGUUCAAUAUAUGCAAAUGUACAGGGGCAGAUCUAGAGGCUCACAGGCAUAGAGUGUUGUGGUGAACUGGGAUGUUUGGAUGCUGUCUCCCCCCACUUUCAUGCAUUCACCCAGGUUUGUUGAUGGUGUGGUGGCUCAUGUCUGUGUUACCUUCUGGCUCUCCCUUUAGUUAUGCUGUCAUAGUCUUGCCAGAGUCCCUGCUUGCACUCAUGCUAAGUUCAUUGUCCUUAACCAUUACAGGAUAAUAACCAUAUUAAUAACCAUAAUAACCAUAAUAAUCUCUCCCUCUGUCUUUCUGUCGAGCUACACAUGAUACUCCUGAGAUACCAGUGAUCCUGACCCCUUCUGCUCUCCGGACCUGCCUGAUUCAUCCUGAUGCCCUACUUCUGGUUGGAGUUCUCGUCAGUUGGAAGUGACGUCCUGCUGCUGAGGACGGCCCCACGUGGUACAGGCCUGGAGGUCACUGGGAUUGCUGGGGAUGAUACCACUACAAUUCAAGUGAACAGUUAUGCUAUGAUGGCCAGGACUACAAUUGCUAUUAUAGCCUCAGCACUGCAAUUACCACAAACAAUUUUGCACUCAAGCCUCCAUCAGUGAACAGUGGAGAAAUUCAACGAAACAGACUUCAUGUAAAAACUGUAAUGAAUUUUCCUGGUUACACAGCUGUACUAUUUGAGCAUGUAGCACAUUCAUAGAAGGGACUUAUUUAUAAUUAUACUAUCUGUUGUCAGUCAGAUGAGGAUGGGUUCCCUUUUGAGUCUGGUUCCUCUCAAGGUUUCUUCCUCGUUUUGUCUCAGGGAUUUUUUCUUUGCCACCGUCGCCUCUGGCUUAAUCAUUAGGGACAGAUUCAUAAAUUUAAGAUUUAUAUUCUCAAUUUAUGCAUUUCUGUAAAGCUGCUUUCGGUCAAUGUACAUUGUUAAAAGCGCUAUACAAAUAAAACUGAACUGAAUUAAAUAGAGUUACUUAGGUAACUUUAGCUUUAAUUUUAAUUGAGAUUAUACUUAAAUAUAAUAUAAGUAUAUAUUAAAUUACAACUCUUCCUC
Ictalurus punctatus (channel catfish) is the source of this 1510-nucleotide long non-coding RNA. RefSeq lists it as uncharacterized. The record is from RefSeq and is a predicted model, not a curated record. The transcript has 3 exons. Lineage: Eukaryota; Metazoa; Chordata; Actinopteri; Siluriformes; Ictaluridae.